RNAcentral lists this transfer RNA (73 nucleotides) under Actinomycetota bacterium. Its description in RNAcentral is "tRNA-Trp". It matches the Rfam family "tRNA". From Rfam's summary of the family: Transfer RNA (tRNA) molecules are approximately 80 nucleotides in length. Lineage: Bacteria; Bacillati; Actinomycetota. The record is from RNAcentral.
GGGGGAAUGGUCCAACGGUUUACGACGUCGGUCUCCAAAACCGAAGAUCGAGGUUCGAUUCCUCGUUCCCCCG